RNAcentral lists this ribosomal RNA (497 nucleotides) under uncultured bacterium. RNAcentral describes it as "bacterial SSU rRNA". It matches the Rfam family "Bacterial small subunit ribosomal RNA", at positions 29 to 500 of the family's 1533-position model. The record is from RNAcentral.
AACGAACGCUGGCGGCGUGGAUAAGACAUGCAAGUCGAGCGCGAAUCAUUCCGUAGCAAUACGGGAUGGUUUGAGCGGCGCAAGGGUGCGUAACACGUGGGUAAUUUGCCGUGAAGUUGGGGAUAACUCGCUGAAAGGCGAGCUAAUACCGGAUGUGGUUAUGGGGUGGCAUCACCUGAUAACUGAAGCUGGGGAUCGUAAGACCUGGCGCUUCAUGAUAAGCCCGCGGCCUAUCAGCUAGUUGGUGAGGUAACGGCUCACCAAGGCGAAGACGGGUAGCUGGUCUGAGAGGACGACCAGCCACACUGGAACUGAGACACGGUCCAGACACCUACGGGUGGCAGCAGUCGAGAAUUUUCUCAAUGGGCGCAAGCCUGAAGGAGCGACGCCGCGUGGGGGACAAGGGUUUCGAUCCGUAAACCCCUGUCAUUCGUGAACAAUGCUCACUAUUUAAAAGAUGGUGAGUUGAUAGUAACGGAAGAGGAAGGGACGGCUAA